RNAcentral lists this ribosomal RNA (922 nucleotides) under Eudorylaimus sp. JH-2004. Its description in RNAcentral is "bacterial SSU rRNA". It matches the Rfam family "Eukaryotic small subunit ribosomal RNA", at positions 39 to 966 of the family's 1831-position model. The record is from RNAcentral. Lineage: Eukaryota; Metazoa; Nematoda; Enoplea; Dorylaimida; Qudsianematidae.
AAAGAUUAAGCCAUGCAUGUAUAAGUAUAAACGACUUGAUCGUGAAACCGCGAACGGCUCAUUAUAACAGCUAUAAUUUACUUGAUCUUGACAACCUACUUGGAUAACUGCGGUAAUUCUAGAGCUAAUACAUGCACCAAAGCUCCGACCGUAAGGGAAGAGCGCAUUUAUUAGAACAAAACCAAGCGGCUUCGGCCGUCCAAUGUUGACUCAGAAUAACUAAGCUGAUCGCAUGGUCUUGAACCGGCGACGUGUCUUUCAAGUAUCUGCCUUAUCAACUUUCGAUGGUAGUGUAUCUGACUACCAUGGUGGUGACGGGUAACGGAGGAUAAGGGUUCGACUCCGGAGAAGGGGCCUGAGAAAUGGCCACUACGUCUAAGGAUGGCAGCAGGCGCGCAAAUUACCCAAUCCCAGAACGGGGAGGUAGUGACGAAAAAUAACGAGACCGUUCUCUUAUGAGGCCGGUCAUCGGAAUGGGUACAAUUUAAACCCUUUAACGAGUAUCUAUGAGAGGGCAAGUCUGGUGCCAGCAGCCGCGGUAAUUCCAGCUCCAAUAGCGUAUAUUAAAGUUGUUGCGGUUAAAACGCUCGUAGUUGGAUCUGCGGCCUCGAAGGAUGGUCCCCCGAAAGGGCGGUCACUAUCUCUUCUAGCCUAAAUUCGAGUCGUCUCUAGGUGCUCUUUACUGAGUGCUUAGAGUGACUAGAACGUUUACUUUGAAAAAAUUAGAGUGCUUAAAGCAGACGAAAUAGUCUGAAUAAGGUGCAUGGAAUAAUGGAAUAGGAUCUCGGUUCUAUUUUGUUGGUUUUCGGAGCCCGAGAUAAUGAUUAAGAGGAACAGACGGGGGCAUUCGUAUUUCGGCGCUAGAGGUGAAAUUCUUGGACCGCCGAAAGACGAACGACUGCGAAAGCAUUUGCCAAGAAUC